AGAUUGAACGCUAGCGGCAUGCCUAACACAUGCAAGUCGAACGGUAACAGGCCCUUCGGGGUGCUGACGAGUGGCGGACGGGUGAGUAAUGCGUAGGAAUCUACCCACGAGUGGGGGAUAGCCCGGAGAAAUCCGGAUUAAUACCGCAUAUGCCCUACGGGGUAAAGCGGGGGAUCGUAAGACCUCGCGCUGGUGGAUGAGCCUAUGUCCGAUUAGCUGGUUGGUGGGGUAACGGCCCACCAAGGCGACGAUCGGUAGCUGGUCUGAGAGGAUGAUCAGCCACACUGGGACUGAGACACGGCCCAGACCUCCGUACGGGCGGCAGC
Molecule: ribosomal RNA, 326 nt
Filed under: uncultured prokaryote
Description: bacterial SSU rRNA
Rfam family: Bacterial small subunit ribosomal RNA
Source: RNAcentral